UACAGAGGUGGCAAGCGUUGUUCGGAAUUACUGGGCGUAAAGGGCGCGUAGGCGGCUUGGUCAGUCCCGUGUGAAAUCCCUCGGCUCAACUGAGGAACUGCACGGGAAACUGCCCGGCUUGAGUUCGGGAGAGGGAAGCGGAAUUCCGGGUGUAGCGGUGAAAUGCGUAGAUAUCCGGAGGAACACCGGUGGCGAAGGCGGGUCUCUGGGCCGAUACUGACGCUGAGGAGCGAAAGCGUGGGGAGCGAACAGG
Molecule: ribosomal RNA, 253 nt
Filed under: uncultured bacterium
Lineage: Bacteria
Description: partial 16S ribosomal RNA
Rfam family: Bacterial small subunit ribosomal RNA
Source: RNAcentral